RNAcentral lists this ribosomal RNA (468 nucleotides) under uncultured bacterium. RNAcentral describes it as "partial 16S ribosomal RNA". It matches the Rfam family "Bacterial small subunit ribosomal RNA", at positions 28 to 507 of the family's 1533-position model. The record is from RNAcentral.
GACGAACGCUGGCGGCGUGCUUAACACAUGCAAGUCGAACGGAAAGGCCCUGCUUUUGUGGGGUGCUCGAGUGGCGAACGGGUGAGUAACACGUGAGUAACCUGCCCUUGACUUUGGGAUAACUUCAGGAAACUGGGGCUAAUACCGGAUAGGAGCUCCUGCAGCAUGGUGGGGGUUGGAAAGUUUCGGCGGUUGGGGAUGGACUCGCGGCAUAUCAGCUUGUUGGUGGGGUAGUGGCUUACCAAGGCUUGGCCGGGUGGCCGGCCUGAGAGGAUGACCGGCCACAUUGGGAGUGAGAUACGGCCCAGACUCCUACGGGAGGCAGCAGUGGGGAAUAUUGCACAAUGGGCGGAAGCCUAAUGCAGCAACGCCGCGUGCGGGAUGACGGCCUUCGGGUUGUAAACCGCUUUCGCCUGUGACGAAGCGUGAGUGACGGUAAUGGGUAAAGAAGCACCGGCUAACUACGUG